Ictalurus punctatus (channel catfish) is the source of this 3348-nucleotide long non-coding RNA. NCBI's taxonomy places the organism in Eukaryota, Metazoa, Chordata, Actinopteri, Siluriformes, Ictaluridae. The record is from Ensembl.
UGAAAAUUACUGACUUGUGCUCAUCUGGUGUGCUGCGGAAAGUAUUGGCACCCCUCUGCCUCAUCCGUCGUUGUAAAUGGAGCACCAUAGGAGCGCCAGUGUGCAGAUAUUCCUUUUAUAAACAGCCAGCUGAGCGUGAUGAAACAGGUGAAGUCUCUCAGGAGACCGGGAGCGUGACGUGACAGAGAGUGAGAGCUAUAAAGCAGGGGUGGUGAAGGCUGUAACACGGAUGCUCGUCUUCAGCAGGACCGACCUCAGAGCAGCAUGCGCUAAAUUAUAAAGUGAUGAAUAGCGUGUGAGCAUGAGGACCAUGAGGACCAUGAGGACCAUGAGGACCAUGAGGAGCUGCGUGUUACACUUACUGUUCCUGCUGCUGCUCUCCUGCAAAACCAGCUUCAGCAGCUUCACUGUCCAGGACAGUUCAGGACGAGAGAUGAGGCAGUAUAAUGAAGUGGAAGACGACAGUUUCAUUGGUCUGAUGGGUAAAAGGAGUUCCGAUCUGACUGCAGAGCUGCCACGGAGACGAGACGUCAGCGACGUGUUUGUCGGUCUGUUCGGGCGCAGAGAUGUCGACUCGGGUGAGUCGGAUAUCGCUAAAGGCCUCGCUGCGUGGAGACGAGAGAGACGGGGCGGAGUCUUCUCAAACAACCGAAGACUCAGAUAUCGUCGUCCCACCUGAAGCGCCGCCUUAACGACGACGUGGAAUUCGAGAGCGACGGUUCUGAUCUCUCCGCCUGGAGUUUACGUUUUUUAUUUUUCACGUGAAGAUUUAAAUGGAGUUUAUUUUACAUCUGAUUUUUCUUCUGAAGGUUUUUUUUUUUUUUUUUUUUAAAUCUAGUGCAACAUAACUGAAAAAUAUCAGUAUUACGAGGUCAUAAGGUCAAUACAUCAUUUCAUCUCUACAGGUCUAGGUAGGAUCCCUUACAGGCUUGCGGGUUCAAAAAAGUAUUGGCACCCACCCCAUAAAUAAAUAUAAGCCAAAAAAAACAUAACUAUAGAAUAAACGCGAGACACGGUGACUUUUCCACUCAAACGCUUACAUAAUGGGAUUUUUAUAUGGAAAAAAAAAAAAUUUGUUGCAAAAUUAUUGGCACCCCAACCAAAAAAUGUACAGCAAUCAUCAGUCUUUGAAAAAACACAUAGUAGUUGUUAUAUUUAAAUUGGUCUGAGUCCACACUCACUCAUUUCCUGCUAAUAGAGAAGUAUAACAAAAAUUAACUCAGUCAUCCAUCAGCAUGAAGAAAAAAACAAACAAAGCUACAGGUUUCAAUAUAAAUUACAGAGAGUUAUUGGUCUGCACAAUAAACGCGGUAAUAGACAUAAUAAAAAGAAAACGUUAUAAAUAUAGAACAGUUUAAAAUUAGCCACGGAUUGGGUCUAUGAUCCGUCAAGUCCCAGACCCCAAAACAGGGUUGCCUCUGCAAGUAGGUUAAGACUUGACCAUAGAUGGUUCUUUCAACAAGUCGAUGAUCCAAGGAACACUUCAAUCAAAACAGAAAAGGUUGUAGAACACAAUUGUGCGAACUCAGUCUCCGGGUUCAAAUCCUGUGGAAAACCUGUGGCGGGAUUUAAAAAUGACGGUCACCAAGAACAAACCUGAGAGUAUAACUAAACUUAAAGUGGAUGCCUGGAGAGCGUUCCAAGAUCCUCUCCAAUCUUGCUCGACAGCUAUGGUCACCAACGCUUGAAUGGGUGGAGUGCCAAUAGUUUUGCACUCAGCAAACUCUAUUGGGAAAAAUUGGACUCUCUAAGAAGAAAACUUUAUUCUGAUGUUAAAAAUUUUAAAACAAAAAGAUACAGCAUCCACACAUAUGGAUACGGACAAUUUUAAAUGAAGGGUGCCAAUACUUAUUAAGGAAGGGGAGUUAUAAACAAAGUUACUGUUAAACGACUGGUUAAAUACGCGAUCGAUAAACAUUGGGGUUUUUUUCCAUCCUCAAAAUAUAAGAAACUUCUUAGGGAGUGCAAAACUCCCUGUUUGCAGAAGUAUUGGCGACCCACCUGUUAAAAUUCAGUGAAGCCCUAGAACGUGAGAACGGCGCUUCUCUACCUUAUUCAGAUUUUUAUCAUUUUAUAAAUAACUUUUUUUUUUAAAGGGGGGAAAAACUCGACAGUUUACAGUAAAAUAAUCAUUUAUUAAAUAUAUGUGUCUUCAUAUCUGUGAUUCUGUUCAUUUCUGAAUCUAUAAAUAAAGACUCCUGUAAAUAUGCUGCUCAAUUUUCCUUCUCUCUCUCACACACACUUUUAGAUAUGAAAAUAUUAAUAUAUUAACACAGAGCGAAGAAAUCUUAACAUCACUCUUCCCAAAUUUGCUCCCGUAGACAAAACAAUCAGAAAAUCAAAAAUAUUAAAGUUAAUCCAGUUUGAUUUUACACUCGAGACAUUUCAGCUCAGCAUUGUUCUAAAAUCAAACAAACAAUGAUUAUGCUAAUGUUACAGAAAACUCAGAAAUAAACCUAAUAACCUUCAGAAAGACCAAAAAAACAAACAAGAACACUGUGUACUGAUCGUAAUCAUCAUCAGACAUCAGUAACACCAAUUUGGUCUCCAUACCGAUAAAAUGAAACACUUCAGGGUUAAUUGGAGCCAAAGCCCAUGUACUAAUCACUUUUUAACAUCUCCGGCGUGGAUUUUUGUUUAUUUUAAAAGUGCUUUCUCGUGAGAAACUGACGUUAAAAGGUGCACUGCGGUGUUUAUUUCUUUCAAACGAGUGCGCUAAUCUCUCUCCGCUGCGUGCGAAUAUAAAACGGAGGCAGUUUGGAAAAGAGCAGGAAGCACGUCCAUGACAAACUCAGUUAAAACGGAGGACUUGCGGGCAGACGUUAGUUAUUUUCACAGAACAUAAUCAUGAAACGUUCAGGCUGCGUCCACACACACAGCCAUUUUAUCGGCGCGAGUCGCCACUCGCUCUACUAUGAUAUUGCCAGGACGCGUUCCUGCUGAUGGUUGCCAUAGUAACAUUUAUCAGUGGGUGGCAGAACUAGCAUUCCAUUCUUGCCAACAAGAAUUCUUGUGUAUAUACGCAUCAGAUCCGACGAGAUGAAAGAGAAGCAUUGAGGAACGUAAGCCUUCAGGAGACAGUUGAGGUAGGGGGCGCUGUUCCAGACAAGGUCUUUUACAUGAGCAUCAAAGCCUUAAAUUUAAUGCGGGCGGUUACAGGAAGCCAGUGGAGGGAGAUGAAGUUUACUGUAUUACUCCAGUGCUGGGAGGUUAAAGAUUAAAAAUGAAAACAUCCAUAUGAAUGGUUUUCGGAAGAAAACACGUCAUUUAAACGUUUCACCACGUACCAAAAGAUCAGGCUUUGCAAUGAAGAUUAUUAUUAAGAUAUUUUAUAUACAUACAUUUUUA